GACCGUGUACAAGUCUCCUGGAAGGGAGCGUCGUAGAGGGUGAGAAUCCCGUCUUUGACACGGACUACCAGUGCUAUGUGAUGCGCUCUCGACGAGUCGAGUUGUUUGGGAAUGCAGCUCAAAACGGGUGGUAAAUUCCAUCUAAAGCUAAAUACAGGCGAGAGACCGAUAGCGAACAAGUACCGUGAGGGAAAGAUGAAAAGAACUUUGGAAAGAGAGUUAAACAGUACGUGAAAUUGCUGAAAGGGAAACGCUUGAUGUCAGUCGCGUCCGCCGGGGAUCAACCUUGCUUCUCGCUGGGUGUACUUCCCGGUCGACGGGUCAGCAUCAGUUUCGGUCGCCGUACAAGGGCGAGGGGAACGUGGCACUCUUCGGGGUGUGUUAUAGCCUCUUGUCGUAUGCGGCGCUCGGGACUGAGGAACUCAGCACGGCUUCAGCUUGUGCUUAGGAUGCUGGCAUAAUGGCCUUAAGCGACCCGUCUUGAAAACACGGACCAAGGAGUCUAACAUGCCUGCGAGUGUUUGGGUGGCAAACCCGAGUGCACAACGAAAGUGAAAGUUGAGACCUCUGUCGUGGAGGGCAUCGACGCCCGGACCUGAGUCUUUGACGAAGGAUCUGCGGUAGAGCAUGCAUGUUGGGACCCGAAAGAUGGUGAACUAUGCCUGAAUAGGGUGAAGCCAGAGGAAACUCUGGUGGAGGCUCGUAGCGAUUCUGACGUGCAAAUCGAUCGUCGAA
Molecule: ribosomal RNA, 735 nt
Filed under: Caloboletus calopus
Lineage: Eukaryota; Fungi; Basidiomycota; Agaricomycetes; Boletales; Boletaceae
Description: partial 28S ribosomal RNA
Rfam family: Eukaryotic large subunit ribosomal RNA
Source: RNAcentral